This is a long non-coding RNA of Alosa sapidissima (American shad), 124 nucleotides long. RefSeq lists it as uncharacterized. The record is from RefSeq and is a predicted model, not a curated record. The transcript is spliced from 3 exons. Lineage: Eukaryota; Metazoa; Chordata; Actinopteri; Clupeiformes; Clupeidae.
AGUGAAAAUGUGGAAAGUAUCAUAGUUUACAAAUAAAAGAUUUUUAGUCAUAUAACUGCUUAAAUCCAGCUUGCUCCAAAACAAAUUAAAAAUGUACGAAUGCUGCAAUGAUUGAUAGGCUAAC